Molecule: ribosomal RNA, 253 nt
Filed under: uncultured bacterium
Lineage: Bacteria
Description: partial 16S ribosomal RNA
Rfam family: Bacterial small subunit ribosomal RNA
Source: RNAcentral
UACGUAGGCAGCAAGCGUUGUUCGGAGUUACUGGGCGUAAAGAGUGCGUAGGCGGUGCUCUAAGUUUGGUGUGAAAUCUCCCGGCUCAACUGGGAGGGUGCGCCGAAAACUGGAGUGCUUGAGUAUGGGAGAGGCAAGCGGAAUUCCUGGUGUAGCGGUGAAAUGCGUAGAUAUCAGGAAGAACACCCGUGGCGAAGGCGGCUCUCUGGGACGGUACUGACGCUGAGACGCGAAAGCGUGGGGAGCGAACAGG